Molecule: small nuclear RNA, 170 nt
Filed under: Ophiophagus hannah (king cobra)
Lineage: Eukaryota; Metazoa; Chordata; Lepidosauria; Squamata; Elapidae
Description: U2 spliceosomal RNA
Rfam family: U2 spliceosomal RNA
About the family: U2 is a small nuclear RNA (snRNA) component of the spliceosome (involved in pre-mRNA splicing). Complementary binding between U2 snRNA (in an area lying towards the 5' end but 3' to hairpin I) and the branchpoint sequence (BPS) of the intron results the bulging out of an unpaired adenosine, on the BPS, which initiates a nucleophilic attack at the intronic 5' splice site, thus starting the first of two transesterification reactions that mediate splicing.
Source: Rfam by way of RNAcentral
AUCGCUUCUUGGCCUUUUGGCUAAGAUCAAGUGUAGUAUCUUUUCUUGCCCUGCACAGGAGAAUGGAGCUGGGAAGCAGGUUAGUGGGGUGGGGCGGGAAUGGGAUUUUGCAAUAACCUUCCCCCAGAAGUGGGGUGGGAAUGGAGAUUUUACANNNNNCUUCCCCUGCC